This 246-nucleotide ribosomal RNA is filed under the name uncultured bacterium. RNAcentral's name for it is "partial 16S ribosomal RNA". It matches the Rfam family "Bacterial small subunit ribosomal RNA", at positions 527 to 772 of the family's 1533-position model. The record is from RNAcentral.
GUAUGGAGCAAGCGUUAUCCGGAUUUACUGGGUGUAAAGGGAGCGCAGGCGGCUUUGCAAGUCUGAUGUGAAAGGCCGGGGCUCAACCCCGGGACUGCAUUGGAAACUGUAAAGCUAGAGUGCCGGAGAGGUAAGCGGAAUUCCUAGUGUAGCGGUGAAAUGCGUAGAUAUUAGGAGGAACACCAGUGGCGCAGGCGGCUUACUGGACGGCAACUGACGCUGAGGCUCGAAAGCGUGGGGAGCAAA